Molecule: ribosomal RNA, 497 nt
Filed under: uncultured bacterium
Lineage: Bacteria
Description: partial 16S ribosomal RNA
Rfam family: Bacterial small subunit ribosomal RNA
Source: RNAcentral
GAUGAACGCUGGCGGCGUGCCUAAUACAUGCAAGUCGAGCGAACGGACGAGAAGCUUGCUUCUCUGAUGUUAGCGGCGGACGGGUGAGUAACACGUGGAUAACCUACCUAUAAGACUGGGAUAACUUCGGGAAACCGGAGCUAAUACCGGAUGAUAUUUUGAACCGCAUGGUUCAAAAGUGAAAGACGGUCUUGCUGUCACUUAUAGAUGGAUCCGCGCUGCAUUAGCUAGUUGGUAAGGUAACGGCUUACCAAGGCAACGAUGCAUAGCCGACCUGAGAGGGUGAUCGGCCACACUGGAACUGAGACACGGUCCAGACUCCUACGGGAGGCAGCAGUAGGGAAGCUUCCACAAUGGGCGAAAGCCUGACGGAGCAACGCCGCGUGAGUGAUGAAGGUCUUCGGAUCGUAAAACUCUGUUAUUAGGGAAGAACAUAUGUGUAAGUAACUGUGCACAUCUUGACGGUACCAAAUCAGAAAGCAACGGCUAACUACGUG